RNAcentral lists this ribosomal RNA (433 nucleotides) under uncultured bacterium. RNAcentral describes it as "partial 16S ribosomal RNA". It matches the Rfam family "Bacterial small subunit ribosomal RNA", at positions 29 to 507 of the family's 1533-position model. The record is from RNAcentral.
AACGAACGCUGGCGGCAUGCCUAACACAUGCAAGUCGAACGAGACCUUCGGGUCUAGUGGCGCACGGGUGCGUAACGCGUGGGAACCUGCACUUAGGUUCGGAAUAACUCCCCGAAAGGGGUGCUCAUACCGGAUAAUGUCUUCGGACCAAAGAUGUAUCGCCUUUGGAUGGGCCCGCGUUGGAUUAGCUAGUUGGUAGGGUAAUAGCCUACCAAGGCGACGAUCCAUAGCUGGUCUGAGAGGAUGAUCAGCCACACUGGGGCUGAGACACGGCCCAGACUCCUACGGAAGGGAGCAGUGGGGAAUAUAGGACGAGGGGCGAAAGCCUGAUAAAGCAAUGCCGGGUAAGUGAUGAAGGCGUUAGGGUUGUAAAGCUGUUUUACCCGGGAUGAUAAUGACAGUACCGGGAGAAUAAGCACCGGCUAACUCCGUG